Molecule: ribosomal RNA, 867 nt
Filed under: Enterococcus durans
Lineage: Bacteria; Bacillati; Bacillota; Bacilli; Lactobacillales; Enterococcaceae
Description: bacterial SSU rRNA
Rfam family: Bacterial small subunit ribosomal RNA
Source: RNAcentral
UGCAGUCGUACGCUUCUUUUUCCACCGGAGCUUGCUCCACCGGAAAAAGAAGAGUGGCGAACGGGUGAGUAACACGUGGGUAACCUGCCCAUCAGAAGGGGAUAACACUUGGAAACAGGUGCUAAUACCGUAUAACAAUCGAAACCGCAUGGUUUUGAUUUGAAAGGCGCUUUCGGGUGUCGCUGAUGGAUGGACCCGCGGUGCAUUAGCUAGUUGGUGAGGUAACGGCUCACCAAGGCCACGAUGCAUAGCCGACCUGAGAGGGUGAUCGGCCACAUUGGGACUGAGACACGGCCCAAACUCCUACGGGAGGCAGCAGUAGGGAAUCUUCGGCAAUGGACGAAAGUCUGACCGAGCAACGCCGCGUGAGUGAAGAAGGUUUUCGGAUCGUAAAACUCUGUUGUUAGAGAAGAACAAGGAUGAGAGUAACUGUUCAUCCCUUGACGGUAUCUAACCAGAAAGCCACGGCUAACUACGUGCCAGCAGCCGCGGUAAUACGUAGGUGGCAAGCGUUGUCCGGAUUUAUUGGGCGUAAAGCGAGCGCAGGCGGUUUCUUAAGUCUGAUGUGAAAGCCCCCGGCUCAACCGGGGAGGGUCAUUGGAAACUGGGAGACUUGAGUGCAGAAGAGGAGAGUGGAAUUCCAUGUGUAGCGGUGAAAUGCGUAGAUAUAUGGAGGAACACCAGUGGCGAAGGCGGCUCUCUGGUCUGUAACUGACGCUGAGGCUCGAAAGCGUGGGGAGCAAACAGGAUUAGAUACCCUGGUAGUCCACGCCGUAAACGAUGAGUGCUAAGUGUUGGAGGGUUUCCGCCCUUCAGUGCUGCAGCUAACGCAUUAAGCACUCCGCCAGGGGAGUACGACCGCAGGGU